Molecule: ribosomal RNA, 484 nt
Filed under: uncultured bacterium
Lineage: Bacteria
Description: partial 16S ribosomal RNA
Rfam family: Bacterial small subunit ribosomal RNA
Source: RNAcentral
AUUGAACGCUGGCGGCAUGCUUUACACAUGCAAGUCGAACGGCAGCGCGGGCUUCGGCCUGGCGGCCGGUGGCGAACGGGGGAGUAAUGCAUCGGAACGUGCCCAGUAGUGGGUGGUAGCCGGUCGAAAGCCCGGUUAAUACCGCAUACGCCCUGAGGGUGCAAGCGGGGGUCCGACAGGCCUGGCGCUAUUGGAGCGUCCGAUGUUGGCUUAGCAAGUUGGUGGGGUAAAGGCUUACCAAGGCGACGAUCCGCAGCUGGUCUGAGAGGACGACCAGCCACACUGGGACUGAGACACGGCCCAGACUCCUACGGGAGGCAGCAGUGGGGAAUUUUGGACAAUGGGGGCAACCCUGAUCCAGCCAUGCCGCGUGAGGGAAGAAGGCCUUCGGGUUGUAAACCGAUUUUGUUCGGGAAGAAAUCAUCUGGGCUAAUACCCCAGGGGGAUGACGGUACCGGAAGAAUAAGCACCGGCUAACUACGUG